GCCGGGCAUGGUGGUGCGUGCCUGUAAUCCCAGUUACUCAGGAGGCUGAGGCAGGAGAAUCGCUUGAACCUGGGAGGUGGAGGUUGCAGUGAGCCAAGAUCUCGCCACUGUACUCCAGCUUGGGCAACAGAGUGAGACUCCAGUCUGAGCAACAGAGCGAGACUCUGUAUCAAAAAAUAAAGAAAUAAAAAAUAAAUAUAUAAAUUUUCUUUUUUUUUUUUUCUUUUGAGACAAUCUCGCUAUAUUGCCCAGGUAGGAGUGCAGUGGCGCGAUCUCAGCUCACUGCAACCUCCGCCUCCCAGGUUCAAGCGAUUCCCCUGCCUCAG
RNAcentral lists this signal recognition particle RNA (326 nucleotides) under Macaca mulatta (Rhesus monkey). RNAcentral's name for it is "Metazoan signal recognition particle RNA (ENSMMUG00000031847.3)". It matches the Rfam family "Metazoan signal recognition particle RNA". From Rfam's summary of the family: The signal recognition particle (SRP) is a universally conserved ribonucleoprotein. It is involved in the co-translational targeting of proteins to membranes. Lineage: Eukaryota; Metazoa; Chordata; Mammalia; Primates; Cercopithecidae. The record is from RNAcentral.